Molecule: long non-coding RNA, 2199 nt
Filed under: Capsicum annuum
Lineage: Eukaryota; Viridiplantae; Streptophyta; Magnoliopsida; Solanales; Solanaceae
Description: long non-coding RNA (CANN_LNC022336)
Source: RNAcentral
AGAAGAAAACUUGGCACUUGGACCAACUAAUUUUCAUUGCAAAUGAGAUGAGUGAAUAAUGUAUUCGAGCACGCCCCUAAAUAGAACAAAAGCUUUCUCUAAUCCAGAUACAUAAAUAGGUUAAAUUCAGAUAGUUCAGAUCAUAUAUCUACAAGGAAUAGGGUGUGGAUUUAGAACACAGAAAAGCCAUUACGCGUGCGUCAGUCUUGGGGAUCAUUCAUCCUUCCCAAAAUCCCAACAAGUAGAGGUAGUUGGUGAAUUUACAUAAUUAAGUUAUUUCAUUUCACAUUCCACUUGAAAUUCAUCAUAUGUAAGAAAUUUCCUCAUCAGAUUUCCUGGGGAAAAGGGAGAUUUAAUAAAGCAAAAGACACAAAUGGCCACAAGAGAAAGACCCUUACUCUUGAGAUACAUGGUAUAGUUAUUAAGAUGCUGAUUUAGAGAAGUAAAACAUCCACUUUAUAAUAGCUCCAGCCCUUUUAACUAGGAAAAAUAAAUAGUUUUAGCAUUUUUAUUUUUAUACUGUUUUUGUUGGCUGAUUAUUUGUAUUUUUUAGGAUAAAAUGGAGGCUGUCAUAGCUACUGCUCUUUAUGGAUCAACAGAUGAUUCAUCAGAAGAUCAAGAACUCAAUAUAAAUUGCAUGUACUUUGAUAUUGUGAGUGGAGCAAAAAAAUGAUGUGUAUAUGAAUUGGACUCUCAAGCUUCAACCUUGUAUAAAGAUAUGACAUGCAAUUUGCCUGUAGUGUCCGAUCAUGUUGCCAAAGAGCGCAUCAAAAUACUUGAGAAAGAGGUGUCGUAUAUGAGAGAAAAUCAAUAGAAAAUUCUUCAAGAGCGUGUAGAGUUGGAGGUGCAACAACGAGUAGAGCAAGAGGUUUUCUGUUUGAGGCAGCAAAGUGAUGAUCGAUUCAAAUAUAUGGAGGAGCAAUGGUCUCGCAUGAUGAGCGAUAUGUCAUUAUCUUCUCACUCAUUUAGUAAUCCUACUCUCCCUAAUAGGGGCUCAUCUAAUGCUUAAGUGUUUAAUAUUUUGAGACUUUAGUUACUUGAAGUGUCGACUUGAACAUUGUCGCACUUUUUUUGGAUAGUUAUAUGCUUUAACUUUUAAACAUUGGUAGACUUUUGCUUAUUGACGUUGUGAUUUUGCAUGUUUUAAUUAGCUUCAGACGUUUUUUUAUUAUAAAUCUUCUAUUAUGUUUUUUUUAUAUAUAUAGUGUGAGAAAGAGCAUAAUAUUUCGUAAUUAUUAUUUAUUAAAGUUAAAAAUUUAAAUAAAAUUUGUGACAGAUUUAAUUUGUCACAGUCUAUCCUAAAUUUGUUACUAAUAUAGGUAAGAGAGUCAUAUUGUGACUAAAUUAGUCUGUCACAAAUUAUUUGUAACGAAAUAUAUUGUCACAAUUGUGGUGACUAGGUUUGAAACUUUGUUACGGAAAUUAUUCUGUCGCUAUUUUAUAACGGAAUAUUUUGUCAAAAAUCUGUUAUAAAUUUGUGACGAAAUUUAAGUCAAAUUUAAGGAUUUAUAUUGUGACGAACGAUCUGUCUCAGUUUCAUCACAAUAAUUUUGUGACGAAUUUAAUUUUCGUCACAAUGAUUUUAUGACCAAAGGUUUUGAGAUGCACAUUUUUCCAUCACAAAUUCAUCACAAUCAAUUAUUUAUGACAGAUUUGUGACUAAAAUCUCUGUCACAAUUUAGAUAAUUUCUUGUAGUUUAGUUUAAAUUCAUAUCCCACACUAACCCUCGUCAAAUUUGAGAUACAACUUUAAGACACCAAGAGAUUAAGCCAUAGACAUAAAAUAGAACAAAAAUUUAUGUAUUCUUUAAGAUUUUUUUAAAAAUUCUUCAUAUGGAUCGAAUUUCUCAUUUUCAAAAAUCCAUUUAUGGAGUUUUUGAUUUUAAACCCUUCAAACAGAAAUUUAUGAAAAAAUUUAGAGAUGAAAUUUAAAGGAAAUCUUAAAAUCAUGGAAUAUAAGUAUACCUUUAUAUAGAAAGGCAGAGAUGAAGCUUUUGGCGAAGCAGACAGAGUCGCAGAUAAAGACUUCACUAAAAGAACCCUACAUCACCGGAGAUGAAGACCAUCAGAGCCUUUUGCUAAAUUUUUUGCUUAAAUCACCCUCAAAAUCUGCUUUCUAGAAAAUUUCGCCUUCACCUUUGGGAAUUCAAUUUUGGAUAUGUAUAAAAUGUGCCCGCUCCUAGGCAGCUUAAAGAGAAA